RNAcentral lists this ribosomal RNA (254 nucleotides) under uncultured bacterium. RNAcentral's name for it is "partial 16S ribosomal RNA". It matches the Rfam family "Bacterial small subunit ribosomal RNA", at positions 334 to 585 of the family's 1533-position model. The record is from RNAcentral.
ACCCCCUACGGGACGCAGCAGUGAGGAAUAUUGGUCAAUGGCCGGAAGGCUGAACCAGCCAAGCCGCGUGAAGGACGAAGGGGCCAAGCAUUGUAAACUUCUUUUGUCAAGGGACAAAAUCAGGCUCGAGAGCCUGACCGAGGGUACUUGAAGAAAAAGCAUCGGCUAACUCCGUGCCAGCAGCCGCGGUAAUACGGAGGAUGCGAGCGUUAUCCGGAUUUCUUGGGUUUAAAGGGUGCGUAGUCGGACUGUUA